This 185-nucleotide non-coding RNA is filed under the name bovine gut metagenome. Its description in RNAcentral is "Lysine riboswitch". It matches the Rfam family "Lysine riboswitch aptamer". Rfam says of the family: Riboswitches are metabolite binding domains within certain messenger RNAs that serve as precision sensors for their corresponding targets. The record is from RNAcentral.
AGAUAGAGGCGCGCUCUGUCAAGAGUACCGCACAUCACGGCUGCCGGAUCCGCGAUUUCACGAUUUCGGAUCAUCGCCGUGCGGGAAAGGGGCGGGCGCCGAAGCGGGACUUCCUGCGGCGGGAGGUUUCGCUGGCCGCGGGGAGAAGAUCCUCCCGGCUGUCGCAGAAAUGCGGAGCGCUAUCG